Molecule: ribosomal RNA, 420 nt
Filed under: bacterium
Lineage: Bacteria
Description: partial 16S ribosomal RNA
Rfam family: Bacterial small subunit ribosomal RNA
Source: RNAcentral
UGGGGGAUAUUGCACAAUGGGCGAAAGCCUGAUGCAGCGACGCCGCGUGGGGGAUGAAGGCUUUCGGGUUGUAAACCUCUUUCGCUAUCGAACAAGGCCCGCUUAGGGUGGGUUGAGGGUAGGUGGAGAAGAAGCGCCGGCUAACUACGUGCCAGCAGCCGCGGUAAUACGUAGGGCGCGAGCGUUGUCCGGAAUUAUUGGGCGUAAAGGGCUUGUAGGCGGAUUGUUGCGCCUGCUGUGAAAACGCGGGGCUUAACUGCGCGCGUGCAGUGGGUACGGGCAGGCUUGAGUGUGGUAGGGGUGACUGGAAUUCCAGGUGUAGCGGUGGAAUGCGCAGAUAUCUGGAGGAACACCGAUGGCGAAGGCAGGUCACUGGGCCAUUACUGACGCUGAGGAGCGAAAGCAUGGGUAGCGAACAGG